AUUGAACGCUGGCGGCAUGCCUUACACAUGCAAGUCGAACGGUAACAGGUCUUCGGAUGCUGACGAGUGGCGAACGGGUGAGUAAUACAUCGGAACGUGCCUAGUAGUGGGGGAUAACUACUCGAAAGAGUGGCUAAUACCGCAUGAGAUCUACGGAUGAAAGCAGGGGAUCGCAAGACCUUGUGCUACUAGAGCGGCCGAUGUCAGAUUAGGUAGUUGGUGGGGUAAAGGCUCACCAAGCCAACGAUCUGUAGCUGGUCUGAGAGGACGACCAGCCACACGGGGAGUGGGACACAGCCCAGACUCCUACGGGAGGCAGCAGUGGGGAAUUUUGGACAAUGGGCGCAAGCCUGAUCCAGCAAUGCCGCGUGCAGGAAGAAGGCCUUCGGGUUGUAAACUGCUUUUGUACGGAACGAAAAGGUUUGGGUUAAUACCCUGGGCCGAUGACGGUACCGUAAGAAUAAGCACCGGCUAACUACGUGCCAGCCGCCGCCGUAA
Molecule: ribosomal RNA, 498 nt
Filed under: uncultured bacterium
Lineage: Bacteria
Description: partial 16S ribosomal RNA
Rfam family: Bacterial small subunit ribosomal RNA
Source: RNAcentral